UAGCAUUCUUCUCUAUCCACAAUUUAUUUAUAACUAGCUGACCCGGCAGACUUCGUAGUGCCUCAAUCGAUAAAUAAAAGACCCAAACUUUUGUAUAAAAUAAAUUUAAGACAGACAAAAGGAAGCCGUCCGAUGGGGGACAUAUCAAAGGAAAAACAAAAUUGUUAUUUUUAUUUAAUUCCGAGCAUUUUCAUAUUUAAGGUAAAAGCACUAAUGCUGGACAUUGAACUAAAAGAUGACACUUUAAAAAAAAAUAUAUUCUAAUAAGGAAACUAAACACUUAAAUAACAUUGCUAUUAAUGUUAAAGACACCUAGUACCAUCUAUGAUACAUUCUCAAAAGCUUGCGUACAGUGUUAGAAGCAAAUUUCAAAAUGGCAUCAGUUGACAACAAACAAUGUGAGCAGGUUGACGUUUUGCGCGUAAUUCUUAGCGUUUUCCUUAAGCCAUCUGACUUUUAACAGCUUAAGUUUCGAGCACGAUGCCGCCAGUAAAGGGUCAGAUGUUUCAAUACUCUGAAGCCAAUAUUGAAGAAGCCAUAAAAGAAUGUAUAUGUUUGAGGGUUUACUGGUGGCCCUGAGGCCUUUCCAGUUUCAUAAGGACAGAAGGGGCGGAAUUUGCUAACAGCUACCCGAGCGCCUCCAAGGGAGACCUAACAACUCAAGAGUAGCUGCUUCGCGAAUGAAUCUACUACCGGACCGGGAUCGCGACCCACUGAGAAGAUCCGGCGAGAAACUCAACGGGCUGAUGCUUAGGUUAGGUUGCACGUCGAACUCUUUGCCGAGUUCGACGAGUACGAUUACCGGGAUCUCUACUCCCUAGUGUUAAAGCGGAAGGCGUCUAAUGCAAGGGUUAUUGGAUCUGAUGGAUCCGUAAGGACGUGUCUAGGGCGACGACGGUGACUGGCUCCUGCGUGGUCAGGAUUCGGGGAGUAGUCAGCGGCGGCAACGAUAAGGCGAUUACUAUGACGCAUUGCCUUAUCGAAGUAACGUUCCGACGCGGACUUCAUGUAUUUUCUGAUCGGUUCGAGGUCCAAGUCGUCUUGUAAGUCGACGCUCCUCACGAACCACGGGGCUCCGACUGCUAACAUGCAAAAACAAGAUUGUAGGGAUUGGAGGGUGUCUAUGCGUGUGCGGGCCGCGUGAGCAAACACCACACUCGCGUAAGUCAUGACCGGCCUUAUGUAAGCUUUGUAAAGUGUCACCUUGUUCCGAAGGGACAUUUUACUCCGCUUACAGAUCAUGGGGUAGAGUCUGCCGAGAAUAAAAGCGGCACGGUCGCAGACUGAUUUUAUAUGUGGGCGGAAUGUCAUGGAUGCAUCCAGGGUGACUCCCAAGUACUUGACCUUCCUGGUCCAGGGUAUGAGGCGGGGCGUUCCGACAGCUACUGCGGCAAAGAAAUUUGGAGUUCCACGAGUAACUUUAUUAAAUAAAGUCAUGGGAAAGACACCUACUAUGCGUAAAAUGGGAAGAAGUUGUUAUUUAACCGAAUAUAUAGAAAAAAUACUCGUAACAUGGGUAAAAGCUAUGGUCAAACAAGGGUUUCCAAUAGGAAAAGAUAAUUUACAAGAUAGCGUUAAGAAAAUAGUUGAUGAUCUUAAGAUUGAUUAUAAUUGUUUAUAAUAAAACUAACGUUAAAGUCGUGUCUAUUAUUAGUGCCAACUGAUGUCAAUUUUUGGUGGAUUUGAUUUUCGAUGCUGUCAUCUUUUAGUGUCUAUGGCAAAACUAACAAGUUUGUAAUUUUUUGUAGAAACUACAACAGUAUUGAAAUAUUUUAUAUGAAAAAAUUGAUCUCUAAAUGUUGCUCUAACAGUAAAAAAAAAGAUUUAAUAUAAUAUUUGAUAAAUACAUUUGAUAACUGAGAA
Long non-coding RNA from Bombyx mori (domestic silkworm), 1863 nucleotides. RefSeq lists it as uncharacterized. Lineage: Eukaryota; Metazoa; Arthropoda; Insecta; Lepidoptera; Bombycidae. The record is from RefSeq and is a predicted model, not a curated record. The transcript is spliced from 2 exons.